GGGUGUCCUGAAACGACCACAGUGGCUAUAAAGAUGCUUAAAACAAACGCUACUGAAUCGGACAAGAGAGAUUUGAUGAAAGAACUUGACACAAUGAAGCAGCUGAAACCACAGCCUUACGUCAUUAAACUUCUGGGAUGUGUUAC
This is a long non-coding RNA of Pocillopora damicornis (cauliflower coral), 146 nucleotides long. Lineage: Eukaryota; Metazoa; Cnidaria; Anthozoa; Scleractinia; Pocilloporidae. The record is from RefSeq and is a predicted model, not a curated record.